This 63-nucleotide transfer RNA is filed under the name Aconurella sibirica. RNAcentral describes it as "tRNA-His". The record is from RNAcentral. Lineage: Eukaryota; Metazoa; Arthropoda; Insecta; Hemiptera; Cicadellidae.
AUUUGAGUAGUUUAUAGUAAAAUGUAGGGUUGUGGGUUCUAAGAAAAUAAUUUUUCUCAAAUU